Molecule: long non-coding RNA, 213 nt
Filed under: Elaeis guineensis (African oil palm)
Lineage: Eukaryota; Viridiplantae; Streptophyta; Magnoliopsida; Arecales; Arecaceae
Description: long non-coding RNA (EGUI_LNC000659)
Source: RNAcentral
UAUGGUUAUUAUCUUUUCAAGGUCUAUGCUGCUGAUCAUACCAUGGUUAUUGGACUUAAAUAAGAACAUAUGAAAAGAAAAAAAAAUAUUUGAUACAAAAGUUUUAUCAUUGAAUCCUGAACACCAGAAUUCUUAAACUAAAGAAAAAGGUUUGAUCAUUAUACAACAGAUCCAAAUGCAUAUAAAUGAUGACAGAAGUGAAAGGAAAGGAAG